ACUGCUCAGUAACACGUGGACAAUCUGCCCUGAAGUGGAGAAUAAUCCCGGGAAACUGGGGGUAAUACUCCAUAGUUCGUUAUUACUGGAAUGUUUUUCGAACGAAAGAUCCGUCGCUUCAGGAUGAGUCUGCGGCCGAUUAGGUAGUUGUUGGGGUAAUUGCCCAACAAGCCUGUAAUCGGUACGGGUUGUGGGAGCAAGAGCCCGGAGAUGGAUUCUGAGACACGAAUCCAGGCCCUACGGGGCGCAGCAGGCGCGAAAACUUUACCAUGCGGGCAACCGUGAUAAGGAAACCCCGAGUGCCAGCACAGGCUGGCUGUCCGCCAGUUUAAACAACUGGCGAAGAAAGGGCCGGGCAAGACCGGUGCCAGCCGCCGCGGUAAUACCGGCGGCUCGAGUGGUGGCCGCUAUUACUGGGCUUAAAGGGUCCGUAGCUUGAUAAUAGGGUCCCUUGAGAAAUCCGCCGGCUUAACUGGCGGGCGUUCAGGGGAAACUUGUUUUCUAGGGACCGGGAGAGGUGAGGGGUACUGCCGGGGUAGGAGUGAAAUCCUGUAAUCCCGGUGGGACCACCUAUGGCGAAGGCAUCUCACCAGAACGGGUCCGACAGUGAGGGACGAAAGCUGGGGGAGCAAACCGGAUUAGAUACCCGGGUAGUCCCAGCUGUAAACUAUGUGCGUUAGGUGUGUCAGUGACCACGUGUCACUGAGGUGCCGAAGGGAAACCGUGAAACGCACCGCCUGGGGGAGUACGGUCGCAAGGCUGAAACUUAAAGGAAUUGGCGGGGGAGCAC
This 790-nucleotide ribosomal RNA is filed under the name uncultured archaeon. Its description in RNAcentral is "bacterial SSU rRNA". It matches the Rfam family "Archaeal small subunit ribosomal RNA", at positions 85 to 879 of the family's 1478-position model. The record is from RNAcentral.